Molecule: transfer RNA, 70 nt
Filed under: Lepidurus couesii
Lineage: Eukaryota; Metazoa; Arthropoda; Branchiopoda; Notostraca; Triopsidae
Description: tRNA-Ser
Rfam family: tRNA
About the family: Transfer RNA (tRNA) molecules are approximately 80 nucleotides in length. Their secondary structure includes four short double-helical elements and three loops (D, anti-codon, and T loops).
Source: RNAcentral
AAUUAUUUGGCUGAUGGGAAAGCACUUGUCUUGAAAAUAAGAUAUAAAGGUUCAAAUCCUUUAAUAAUUU